Molecule: unclassified non-coding RNA, 345 nt
Filed under: Hevea brasiliensis (rubber tree)
Lineage: Eukaryota; Viridiplantae; Streptophyta; Magnoliopsida; Malpighiales; Euphorbiaceae
Source: RNAcentral
AGGAACCGGACGAUUCUGAAUCGGAACCGGAGUUCGUUGAGCUCGAUCCUUCUGGUCGAUACGGCCGGUACAAAGAGGUUCUGGGAAAAGGAGCUUUCAAGAAAGUUUACCGAGCAUUUGAUGAAUUGGAGGGGAUUGAAGUAGCUUGGAACCAGGUUAAAUUGGCUGAUCUCUUGAGGAAUGCUGUGGACUUGGAGCGUCUUUAUUCCGAAGUUCAUUUGCUUAAAACCCUCAAGCACAAGAAUAUAAUCAAAUUCUAUAACUCGUGGGUUGACUCAAAGAAUGAGAAUAUCAACAUCAUUACUGAAAUUUUCACUUCUGGGACUUUAAGACAGUACCGCAAAA